Phyllostomus discolor (pale spear-nosed bat) is the source of this 154-nucleotide long non-coding RNA. RefSeq lists it as uncharacterized. The transcript is spliced from 3 exons. The record is from RefSeq and is a predicted model, not a curated record. NCBI's taxonomy places the organism in Eukaryota, Metazoa, Chordata, Mammalia, Chiroptera, Phyllostomidae.
UUGUCUGGUUUACCACCAGGAGUCACUGUGUUGUUCUUUGCUUUGUACACAGAAGCACAGCUCUUGCCUAGAUGGAAUUCAGUUUUAUCUCGAGCAUAAACACCUUCAAUUUUAAGAAGGGCUGUGUGCUCCCUCUGGUUGGAGAUCUGAAGAG